GCGGAAGUGGCGAAAUUGGUAUACGCGCUGGAUUUAGGUUCCAGUGCCGCAAGGUGUGAGAGUUCGAGUCUCUCCUUCCGCACCA
RNAcentral lists this transfer RNA (85 nucleotides) under Halioglobus japonicus. RNAcentral's name for it is "tRNA-Leu(tag)". It matches the Rfam family "tRNA". From Rfam's summary of the family: Transfer RNA (tRNA) molecules are approximately 80 nucleotides in length. The record is from RNAcentral. Lineage: Bacteria; Pseudomonadati; Pseudomonadota; Gammaproteobacteria; Cellvibrionales; Halieaceae. RNAcentral also lists the same sequence under 2 other names.